Trichomycterus rosablanca is the source of this 69-nucleotide small nucleolar RNA. RefSeq annotates it as small nucleolar RNA SNORD30. The record is from RefSeq and is a predicted model, not a curated record. The transcript has a single exon. NCBI's taxonomy places the organism in Eukaryota, Metazoa, Chordata, Actinopteri, Siluriformes, Trichomycteridae.
UCUUAUGAUGAUUUAACUUGGAAUCUCGUUCGUCUGAAGCCCUGCUGAGAAUUAUUACUUCUGAUGAUG